GACGAACGCUGGCGGCGUGCUUAACACAUGCAAGUCGAACGCUGAAGCUCAGCUUUUGUUGGGUGGAUGAGUGGCGAACGGGUGAGUAACACGUGAGUAACCUGCCCCCUUCUUUGGGAUAACGCCCGGAAACGGGUGCUAAUACUGGAUAUUCACUGGUCUUCGCAUGGGGGUUGGUGGAAAGGGUUUUUCUGGUGGGGGAUGGGCUCGCGGCCUAUCAGCUUGUUGGUGGGGUGAUGGCCUACCAAGGCUUUGACGGGUAGCCGGCCUGAGAGGGUGACCGGUCACAUAGGGACUGGGAUACGGCCCAGACUCCUACGGGAGGCAGAAGUGGGGAAUAUUGCACAAUGGGCGCAAGCCCGAUGCAGCGACGCCGCGUGAGGGAUGGAGGCCUUCGGGUUGUGAACCUCUUUCGCUCAUGGUCAAGCCGCAACAAUGGUUGUGGUGAGGGUAGUGGGUAAAGAAGCGCCGGCUAACUACGUG
RNAcentral lists this ribosomal RNA (483 nucleotides) under uncultured bacterium. RNAcentral describes it as "partial 16S ribosomal RNA". It matches the Rfam family "Bacterial small subunit ribosomal RNA", at positions 28 to 507 of the family's 1533-position model. The record is from RNAcentral.